AGGCGACGAUCCCUAGCUGGUCUGAGAGGAUGACCAGCCACACUGGAACUGAGACACGGUCCAGACUCCUACGGGAGGCAGCAGUGGGGAAUAUUGCACAAUGGGCGCAAGCCUGAUGCAGCCAUGCCGCGUGUAUGAAGAAGGCCUUCGGGUUGUAAAGUACUUUCAGCGGGGAGGAAGGGAGUAAAGUUAAUACCUUUGCUCAUUGACGUUACCCGCAGAAGAAGCACCGGCUAACUCCGUGCCAGCAGCCGCGGUAAUACGGAGGGUGCAAGCGUUAAUCGGAAUUACUGGGCGUAAAGCGCACGCAGGCGGUUUGUUAAGUCAGAUGUGAAAUCCCCGGGCUC
This 347-nucleotide ribosomal RNA is filed under the name Escherichia coli. Its description in RNAcentral is "bacterial SSU rRNA". It matches the Rfam family "Bacterial small subunit ribosomal RNA", at positions 271 to 610 of the family's 1533-position model. The record is from RNAcentral. Lineage: Bacteria; Pseudomonadati; Pseudomonadota; Gammaproteobacteria; Enterobacterales; Enterobacteriaceae.